RNAcentral lists this ribosomal RNA (254 nucleotides) under uncultured prokaryote. RNAcentral's name for it is "partial 16S ribosomal RNA". It matches the Rfam family "Bacterial small subunit ribosomal RNA", at positions 524 to 776 of the family's 1533-position model. The record is from RNAcentral.
UACGAAGGGGGCUAGCGUUGUUCGGAAUUACUGGGCGUAAAGCGCGCGUAGGCGGUUUUGCAAGCCAGAGGUGAAAUGCCUGAGCUUAACUUAGGAAUUGCCUUUGGGACUGCGAGGCUUUGAGGAUGAGAGAGGUGAGUGGAAUUCCCAGUGUAGAGGUGAAAUUCGUAGAUAUUGGGAAGAACACCGGUGGCGAAGGCGGCUCACUGGACCACAACUGACGCUGAGGCGCGAAAGCUAGGGGAGCAAACAGG